Molecule: long non-coding RNA, 903 nt
Filed under: Heterocephalus glaber (naked mole-rat)
Lineage: Eukaryota; Metazoa; Chordata; Mammalia; Rodentia; Bathyergidae
Description: lncRNA (ENSHGLG00000048397.1)
Source: RNAcentral
UGCCACCUGCCUCACAAGCACAAGGUCCUGAGUUCAAUCCAUGGUACCAAAAAAAAUUUUUUUUGCUUACUCUGUCCUUUGUAAGGAACACUGUUGAAAAAAUAUAUUAAAGGAAAGUAGGCUAUAAAAGAAAAUCAAGAUAAUGGUUUACUUUCUGGAAUGAUUUUCUAGAUGACAGCUUAUCCUUCCAUUAAUCUAGAGGUAAAAACAGGAAAAAGGGAAUUAAAGUCAAAAGCAGAGGAAAAGGCAUCCCAACUUUGGGGUGAUGGAAAGCUCCAACACAAGAGCUACCCUGCAGAACUAGAGAGCCAUCAGCCCAAAUGAGAGGAAGACAGAAGCUCAGGAAGAGAACUCUUCAGGAAGAUGAAACUUGUACCAGGAACUGAACUCAGGACCUUGCGCUUCCCUGGCAGGCAUAUUUUUAAUGCUCAAGAUGCUAUGGUGAACAGAACUAUCAGAUUACUGGAUGUCAUCUUGAACAGAAAAUAAAAACAUCAUGUAUAUUGGAUGUACACAAGGCCUCAUGCAACUUAAAAGUGAUGCUGAGCUUUGCAGGUGCUUUAGCAGAAGAAACAUAAGUAGUACAACAAUGCUUUAAAGAAGCAUUGUCAGACUGUCCAGAUCAUGGAAGAAAAUAAGGAGUAGAAGAAGUGGCUCACAUGCCUAUAGACCCUAGAAGGAAACUGACUCGAAUGACUUAAAUUUCCAGCUUCACUUUUAUUAGCUUAGAGGGGCAGUUUUCAAAGUAUUUUUCUGCUGCCAAAAUGAAAGUCGUUAAUUAGAGUGCAGACUUACAAAUAAAAUGGCAUGUAAACACUAAAUAUUACAUAUCCUAAAACUUGAUGGUUAGGUAAGUUCAUUAUAAUGACCAUUUUAGAAAAGAUCUAUUUCUCAGGACACAAA